AGAGGCGUUUUUGUAGAAAUACUACGUCCCAAGUUGUGGACCAACGUAGUUAUUACACGUUUAGAUGUGAGACUUGGUUGGUUCGCCACUAGUGUUAUGUUGGCUCAUAUAGGCCGUUUUUUUAUUGAUUUUAAUUUUAUAAAAGAUUAGACACAAAAUGAAUUAUUUAAAGCGUUUAUUUGUUUUAAUCUGGAUGACUACAGUUUACACCUUUUUAUAACCCAAAAUUCAGUAUCACAUAAUUAGAACAUUUCACUAGACACAUUUCUAGACAAAUUACUAGAAAAAUCUUUGAUUUUGAAUGUCAAAUGUGAAGUUUUCUGUUGCCUCAAAAAUGCACUUCUCGUAACUCAAGAAUAUGUGAAAGUUAUUAAAAAGGUUAAAAUCCAUUUAUAUCUAAAAGGGGUGUCCUAUCUUGUAAAAGCUUCAUAUUUUGGUACUUACUUCACUUUUACCUCAUCUCAUCAACAAAGUUUACAUACGUCCUGUUUAAUAAUUAAUAAUUCAAUCUCUCUUCCAUCAGGUUCAAACAACUAUUGCAAAGUUAUUUUGUUCAGAAAAGACUUCACAAAUCACAAAUGGAUCCUGACUUCUGAGAUUCUGAAAUUACCCUUUAAUCACUCAUUUUAACCAUAAAUCCUAAUGCUCUUUUUUUCUGAUUUACAGACAUCUGACAUUGCACAGCAACGAAUGAGAAUGUGUCUGGAAGGUCUGCCCUUAUUUGUCCGUGACAGUGCACAGAAGCUUUUCCUGAAAUGCCUGGACACUGAUCCGGGAGAAAAGCAGACUGCUGGUGUCAAGAUGGGUCUUCACUGUUCUCGUAGAUGAUGGUGGACCCACCCCGUCUCAAAUGACAUCUGACAUUGCACAGCAACGAAUGAGAAUGUGUCUGGAAGGUCUGCCCUUAUUUGUCCGUGACAGUGCACAGAAGCUUUUCCUGAAAUGCCUGGUCACUGAUCCGGGAGAAAAGCAGACUGCUGGUGUCAAGAUGGGUCUUCACUGUUCUCGUAGAUGAUGGUGGACCCACCCCGUCUCAAAUGUGUGGCAUCUCAACAAUGUGGCCAGACCGUGGCCCGUGACAUGUCUUGCGAAUUCUCCGGCCGAAGCUCCAAAUAAACCAUCAGUGUUUGCCAUCAAAGCUCCAGCUCUCCUCGUGUCUCUCUGAGUCCUGUUUCCAAUUGCUUCAGAAGUUUCCCCCACAAUGUUGAUAUUCUGAGUACUUUUUUAAAGGAAGAGGACUUAUCUCUGGGAGCCAGAAUUCUUGUUGGUUGCAAGGGGAUCAAAUACUUAUUUUACACAAUUAAAUGCAAAUUCAUUUAUAUCUCUUAUAUAAUAUAUAUCUCUGGAUAUUCUUUUUGAUAUUCUGUCUCUCAUUUGUCAAAUAAACCUACCAUUAAAAUAAUAGACUGUUCAUUUCUUUGCAAGUGGGUAAACUUGCA
This is a long non-coding RNA of Trematomus bernacchii (emerald rockcod), 1439 nucleotides long. RefSeq lists it as uncharacterized. The record is from RefSeq and is a predicted model, not a curated record. Lineage: Eukaryota; Metazoa; Chordata; Actinopteri; Perciformes; Nototheniidae. The transcript is spliced from 5 exons.